RNAcentral lists this ribosomal RNA (25 nucleotides) under Russula graminea. Its description in RNAcentral is "partial 28S ribosomal RNA". Lineage: Eukaryota; Fungi; Basidiomycota; Agaricomycetes; Russulales; Russulaceae. The record is from RNAcentral.
UCUUGACCUCAAAUCGGGUGAGACU